AAACCAACCGGGAUUGCCUUAGUAACGGCGAGUGAAGCGGCAAAAGCUCAAAUUUGAAAUCUGGUACCUUCGGUGCCCGAGUUGUAAUUUGGAGAGGGCAACUUUGGGGCCGUUCCUUGUCUAUGUUCCUUGGAACAGGACGUCAUAGAGGGUGAGAAUCCCGUGUGGCGAGGAGCGCGGUUCUUUGUAAAGUGCCUUCGAAGAGUCGAGUUGUUUGGGAAUGCAGCUCUAAGUGGGUGGUAAAUUCCAUCUAAAGCUAAAUAUUGGCGAGAGACCGAUAGCGAACAAGUACAGUGAUGGAAAGAUGAAAAGAACUUUGAAAAGAGAGUGAAAAAGUACGUGAAAUUGUUGAAAGGGAAGGGCAUUUGAUCAGACAUGGUGUUUUGUGCCCUCUGCUCCUUGUGGGUAGGGGAAUCUCGCAUUUCACUGGGCCAGCAUCAGUUUUGGUGGCAGGAUAAAUCCAUAGGAAUGUAGCUUGCCUCGGUAAGUAUUAUAGCCUGUGGGAAUACUGCCAGCUGGGACUGAGGACUGCGACGUAAGUCAAGGAUGCUGGCAUAAUGGUUAUAUGCCGC
Molecule: ribosomal RNA, 572 nt
Filed under: Saccharomyces cerevisiae (brewer's yeast)
Lineage: Eukaryota; Fungi; Ascomycota; Saccharomycetes; Saccharomycetales; Saccharomycetaceae
Description: partial large subunit ribosomal RNA
Rfam family: Eukaryotic large subunit ribosomal RNA
Source: RNAcentral